GACGAACGUUGGCGGCGUGCUUAGUACAUGCAAGUCAACUGAAGCAGUGGUAGCAAUAUCGCUGUGGAGGUGGCGCACGGGUGAGUAAUACGUAGGUAAUCUGCCUUCAGGUCUGGCAUAACUCCGGGAAACCGGGGCUAAUAGCAGAUGAUGCAGCGGCUCGACAUCGAGACAGUUGUUAAAGCUAUGGCGCCUGAAGAUGAGCCUGCGUCUGAUUAGCUAGUUGGCGGGGUAACGGCCCACCAAGGCAACGAUCAGUAGCUGGUCUGAGAGGAUGAUCAGCCACACUGGAACUGAGACACGGUCCAGACUCCUACGGGAGGCAGCAGUAAGGAAUAUUGCUCAAUGGGAGAAAUCCUGAAGCAGCAACGCCGCGUGAGGGACGAAGGGCUUUUGCUUGUAAACCUCUGUAGUGAGAGAAAAAAAUCCCAAUCUUUGGGACAUGAUGGUAUCUCAAAAGUAAGCCCCGGCUAACUACGUG
RNAcentral lists this ribosomal RNA (481 nucleotides) under uncultured bacterium. RNAcentral's name for it is "partial 16S ribosomal RNA". It matches the Rfam family "Bacterial small subunit ribosomal RNA", at positions 28 to 507 of the family's 1533-position model. The record is from RNAcentral.